CCCUUCUCUUGAGAAAAGCGAGUAAUAAAUGCUUCUUUCCAAGGCGGUUGUCUCUGUGUCUGUCGUUGUAUCAUCCCCGAUGAAAACAAAAUGAGGGUAUAUCUAAAAUAGCUACGAAACAUCAUCCUGGAUCCUCAAUAGCGUGUGUGCGUCUAAACUGUGCUGGCACCACAGUGGUCUGUGAGACAGACUUUGCGCUCCCACCCUAUGUGAUUUUGAAGGCGAAGGGUACAAACCAGCUAAUUGUGAUAACAGGCAACCUUGUCUGAUGACCUGCAAACAACGAGUGCUUCACAUGACUCAGCUCAUUUUGCCCUCAACCCGCUCUACGCGGUAAGCACCGUCAUCACUCCCUUUUUACACAGGAGCAAACUGACUCAGAGAGGGUGAGGAAGGAGUUCAAGAUGAUUCAGCUCGUGGGCAAUGGAGCUCAGAGGCAGUCUGGCUCCAGCGGCUGGGUUUUGAAUGUUGUGUUUGUAUUAUAUUGGCUGUUCCCUCAAUCCCACCUGCUACACCUUUACAUCUUGACUGCCAGGUAGUCAUGGGCGUCAACAAAUAUUUGCCGAGGACCAAAUGCAUACAUUGCAUGACCCCAGGCACCAGGAGUACCCGACUAGAAGAAAACUAAGCCCUGCCAGCUCUUGGGGAACAUCAUGAAAAUACAACAGUCCAAGGGAGCUUCCGGUAAGAACCAGGUGCGCUAUUUGUUCUGUUGGCUCAGGAGCAACUUCCAAACUCAUUGCCGAAGUGUCCUCGGAAUGAAGAAGACAAACCAGCCCAUCAACCGAACAAUAAUUUCCACUUACGGGGGGAAAAUACGUCUUGCCAAUUCAGUUCACAUUUACCCAAACACAUUUGUAAAACUCUUUGCCCUGAAUAAUCUGUGAUGCACAGAGUAUAAAGUAAAAGCCCCCACAUGAAGUGACAAACGAGGCAGAGGCAAAGCAGUUAACAGUAAGAGCAAACACAAAAAAUAUAACAGCAUCCGUCAGGUGCCAUGUCAAUCACAUAAGAUUGUUUUUCGCCGCUCAUCGUCAAAGAUUAAAGGGUGGAUAUUUAAGGUGUGGGAAAGAGGGGGUCACUUAAUAAUUUCAGCAAGGUGAGGAAGCGGUGUGGUGGGUUUGGGGAAGAAGAGAUUUGGAGUCACACUUGGGGUCAAGUACCAUAUAUUCUAUGACUUAGCUGGGUCUCAGGAGGUCACCUGACUAGUUUCUCAGCCUCAUUUCCACCAGACGUAGAUGAGGAUAAUAGAAAUGAUGGCUCUCCAUCCACCUUGUUGGGAUCUGGCAGGAAGCAAAUGCGAUAUUGG
RNAcentral lists this long non-coding RNA (1309 nucleotides) under Felis catus (domestic cat). RNAcentral's name for it is "lncRNA (ENSFCAG00000051760.1)". The record is from RNAcentral. Lineage: Eukaryota; Metazoa; Chordata; Mammalia; Carnivora; Felidae.